ACCGAUGCCUCUUUAUAGCUGCCGAGAUACUCUUUGAGUUCCUGAAAAUCUGCACUUUCAGUGAGACUUAGAACUAACUGUACUAGUCAAUGAAUAAUUUAUGACGGGAAAAGAUUAUACAAAGCACAUGAAGAGAAAGAGGAAUGGCAGACUUUCUGUUUUAUGCUGCAUAGUUAGUGACUUCUAGCAAUCUUCCAUUUGCCUUGAGUGUGCUACCACUGUGUGGUGUAAAUUAAAGAGCAGUGAGAUGGAAAAGAAAAGAAGAAUUAGAGAGUCAGGACCAGACUAGGACAUAGUUGUGUAGCAUCCAAAGGGCUGAUGAAGUUUUCACAGCAGGUCAAUAUAUAUUUUGACAACUCUCUAACCUUGAAAAUCUGCCAGAACAACAGGAAGCAAGGAGAGGAACAGAUGUCACAUAUGUCCUCCAAAACAACAAGGGCAAAGAGGAAGACCUGCUGAAAAUAAAGUCAAGAGACCAUAUUCAUUAAACCUGGUGCAGAGAGCCUUAUUAUACCUCCAUGGGUAAGCAAGGGGGAUUCAUGCUCAGAAAAGCACUUGUUCUCAAAGUCUGACUCAUGAAGCACUUAUGUGAUCUAAGAAGAUACUUCUACCACAACAGGAAGGAGUCUGUCUUUAUACAGCGAUGAUUUGAUGCUAGUUGUUGCCCAAGGCAGGACUUACAUUUCUCGAGGGCUUUUAGCCAUGAUCAACUUUGUAAAUAAUAUUAAACUGGAGACUUAGCAUACAGAACCACAUUACAAUGACCUGAAAAGUUUAGAGCAAUAGGGCUACGGGCAAUGAAUCAAAAUUAAAUAAUAAAUGCUAACUCCUACAAUCAGGGAGAUGACAGCAACAACACCUAUAUGUGAAGGAAAUGUAACCAAGCAGUCAGUGCUUAAUUUCUAAUCUGGCAAGCCCUGGCACAAAUUAAGCAUUGCAAGCAGCCAAUCUCAUUGCAUUAAAGCAAGCUCCCCUCCCCCCCUCUCCCCCCACACUUUUUCUCCACGAUAUUGUGCUAAUAUUACUUAUUCAUGUAGCCAAGCAUUAUAGCUGCUGUUGGAAGAUUUGGGAGAGGAGGGAGUCAAGGAGAAGUUGAUUCAUUUUAAGAAAUGGUCCCACAGUAUGAAAAAGUUUGAGAAUUACUGGGUUACAUUUUCGUUUUUAAGUCUUGUUUAUCUAUUUGCUCUACUUAACAGCCUGAAUGUAAUGUUCCAUAAAAUAUCCCCUCAUAAGUAUGACUGUAAAAAGAAUAACUGUUUAUGCUGAAAUUUUAAAAAAUGUGUACAGAAGGCACAAAACCAGCUACUAUUUUAACUGAUGAAAUACAAUUUAGAGUUAAUGCUUCAUGGAUUGUAGUUGUAUAAUUUUAUCCAGCUCAGGAACGAUUCUUAUUUUAUCACACUAGAGGACAGACUGUUCAUUCCACUCGGUGUUGGCCACAGAAUUCUUUGCAUUUCUACCUCCUGGAACAGCAAAGCCAUAUUUUACUAGUGUGUCAGAGAAUCUAUCGUCUGUUUGUAGUUGGCUGUGUCCUUUUUUUUCUGUAGAAGAAGUAGACUGAAUCCAGCUCCUACUAGAAUGAAAAGGACCAGAAUAUCUACAAACCAAAUCAUACUACGAGUAGGUUCAGGAGCCUCUCCAUGCUUUUUCUCUCCUGUAAAUCAGUGCAAAGCAGUUACUAAAGAAUAUGGGAGAUUCUAGGAAUGUGAUGUUAUCUGAUUAAAAUAUGGCCUUGUAGCUCAUUGUUGCUACCACUGUUACAUAAUUGCAACAAAUCUGACACAAAGUGUAUCAAGUAAGAUGUCAACAGAAAAGUUAUGAUUUGCUGAAUAUGAUUAUGCUGUUAAUAUGCAUGUAUCAUUUUUGUAUUUGAAGUUUAUGAGUAUUGGCUCUAGACCUGUAUUUCAAAUAUAUUUGCUUCUGGGUAGCACCCACAAGGUAUUUAGUCUGCACAUCUUGAAUGGACUAUUCAAAUGAAGUGGAUCAUCAAGAAACACAACUCACAAUCGACCAUGGGGGAUGCCUAUCUACACUUAAUGGACUUUCCUGUGAAGGUUCCAUCU
Long non-coding RNA from Caretta caretta (loggerhead turtle), 2063 nucleotides. RefSeq lists it as uncharacterized. Lineage: Eukaryota; Metazoa; Chordata; Testudines; Cheloniidae. The record is from RefSeq and is a predicted model, not a curated record.